Molecule: long non-coding RNA, 669 nt
Filed under: Struthio camelus australis
Lineage: Eukaryota; Metazoa; Chordata; Aves; Struthioniformes; Struthionidae
Description: lncRNA (ENSSCUG00000000224.1)
Source: RNAcentral
GGGACUCCGGCUCCCCGCAUGCCUCGCUGUGUGUUCUAGAGCUGCCACGGGUGGGACUACGGCUCCCAGCAUGCCUCAUUCCCCUUUCUGGACCUUAGAUAGCUGUCAUCUCCCCACAGGCCCUGCAAUGUUCUAGAGCUGCUGGAGCAGGACCUCCUUGUUCUCCUCCUCUACCUCCUGCUCCUCCCUGUCCUCGCGCUGGACGACGGCUCCCAGCAUGCCCUGCUGCCUGUCCUAGAGCUGCCAGGAGCUGGACGACACCUCCCAGCAUGCCCUGCUGUGCAUUCUAGAGCUACCAGAGGUGGACUACAUCACCCAGCAUGCCCUGCUGUGUGUUGUCGAGCUGCUGCAGCUAGACUAGGUCUCCCAGCAUGCCCUGUUGUGUGUUCUAGAGCCGCUAGAGCUAGGCUGGGGCUCCCAGCAUGCCCUGCUGCAUGUUCUCGAGCUCCUGGAGCUAGACCAGGUCUCCCAGCAUGCCCUGCUCUGCGUUCUAGACCUCCUGGAAAUAGACUACGUCUCCCAGCAUGCCCUGCUGUGUCUUCUAGAGCCGCCAGGAGCAGGAUGACACCUCCCAGCAUGCCCUGCUGUGUGUUCUUGAGCUGCUGGAGCCAGACCAGGUCUCCCAGCAUGCCCUGCUCUGCGUUCUAGACCUCCUAGAGGUGGACUACG